RNAcentral lists this transfer RNA (76 nucleotides) under Burkholderia sp. RNAcentral's name for it is "tRNA-Asn". It matches the Rfam family "tRNA". Rfam says of the family: Transfer RNA (tRNA) molecules are approximately 80 nucleotides in length. Their secondary structure includes four short double-helical elements and three loops (D, anti-codon, and T loops). Lineage: Bacteria; Pseudomonadati; Pseudomonadota; Betaproteobacteria; Burkholderiales; Burkholderiaceae. RNAcentral also lists the same sequence under 19 other names. The record is from RNAcentral.
UCCCCGAUAGCUCAGUCGGUAGAGCAACGGACUGUUAAUCCGUGGGUCGUUGGUUCGAGCCCAACUCGGGGAGCCA